CUGCUCGUUGGGGUUGGGGUUGGCGUCGGGGUACUUGGUGAGGUCGAAGGUCAGCACCUUGCUGAUGACGCAGUCGCCUUGCUGGGGAGGCAGGUGGGGGUAAAUCACCGGCCCCAGCCCCCUGGGGUAUUUACCAGCCCCCCGGGGUAUUUACCUGCCCCCUCCVGGGUAUUUACCCCAGUGCAUUAACCCCCCCCAGGCAUUUAAAGCCUCCUUCAAGAUAUUUACCCCCUUUAUGGCUCUUAACCCCCGGGGUAUCUCCCCGCGCAGGGGGUGUUUCCCCRGGCAGGGGGGUAUUUACACCAGCAGGGGGGUAUUUACCCCCGCGGGGGGUAUUUCCCCCCCCCGGGCAUGCGCCCACCUCGGGGUAGACGCCGAUGAGGCUCUGGGCCUUGGUGUAAAACUCCUCCUUGAGGGAGAUGACGAUGGCCUGGAAGUUGGCGGCCGACUGCUCCUUGAUGUAGUUGGCCACCUGCGGGGGGGGCGUCAGCACCCGGGGACGGGGACCCCCAAAACGGCCCCGAACGAUACCCCGCGACCCCCAAAACGCCCCUGCAACCCCAAAACCACCUCCGGGGACCUCAGAAACACCCCUGGGGACCCCAAAACGCCCCCAGGGACCCCAAAACUGAACCCAGGGACCCUGAAUGGCACCCCAAGACUCCAAAAACACCCCUGGGGACCCCAAAAUGGCACCCAGGGACUCCCAAGAAGCCAGGUGACACACAAUCUGCACCCAGGGACCCCGAAACUGCAGCCAUGGACCCCCAAGCCACCCCUGGGAAGCCCAAAACUGCACCCAGGGGACCCCAAAGUGGCCAGGGGACCCCAAAACUGCAGCUGGGGACCCCAAAAGGGCAUCCAAGGGACCCUGAAGCCACCUGGGGACCCUAAAACCGCAGCUGGGGAACUCAAAUUGGCACCCAGGGACCCCGAAACUGCAUCGGGGGACCCCAGAGCAGCCGAGGGACCCCACCACUGUGCCCAGAGCUGCCCAAGCUGCCUCAAGGGGCCCCUAACCCUCUCCCGGGACACCAAAACACCCCAAGGGGCCCCAAAACUGCUCCCAGGGGGCCUCAAACCUCCCCAGCGAACCUGAAACUGCUCCCAUGGAGCCCUGACCCUCC
RNAcentral lists this long non-coding RNA (1127 nucleotides) under Apteryx haastii (Great spotted kiwi). RNAcentral describes it as "lncRNA (ENSAHAG00000014662.1)". The record is from RNAcentral. Lineage: Eukaryota; Metazoa; Chordata; Aves; Apterygiformes; Apterygidae.